UAGCCGUAAACGAUACUCGCUAGGUGUCGACCACGGUGCGACCGUUGUCGGUGCCGUAGGGAAGCCGUGAAGCGAGCCACCUGGGAAGUACGGCCGCAAGGCUGAAACUUAAAGGAAUUGGCGGGGGAGGCACAACAACGGGUGGAGCUUGCGGUUUAAUUUGGAUUCAACGCCGGAAAUCUUACCGGGACCGACAGCAACAUGAAGGCCAAGCUGAAGACUUUGCCGGAUUAGCUGAGAGGAGGUGCAUGGCGUAGUCGUGU
This 263-nucleotide ribosomal RNA is filed under the name uncultured archaeon. RNAcentral describes it as "partial 16S ribosomal RNA". It matches the Rfam family "Archaeal small subunit ribosomal RNA", at positions 748 to 1009 of the family's 1478-position model. The record is from RNAcentral.